GUUGGGCGUGUUGAAGUAUGCCUGUAGUCUCAGCUACUCAGGAGGCUGAGGUCAGAGGAUCGCUUGAGCCCAGGAGUUCUGGGCUGUAGUGCACUAUGUCAAUCGGGAGUCUGAACUAAGUUUGGCGUCAAUAUGGUGACCUCCCGGGAGCUGGAGACCACCAGGUUGCCUAAGGAGGGGUGAACCGGCCCAGGUCAAAAACAGAGCAGGUAAAAACUCCCGUGCUAGCCGGGCGCGGUAGCUCACGCCUGUAAUCCCAGCACUUUGGGAGGCCGAGGCAGGUGGAUUCCGAAGUCAAGAGAUCAAGACCAUCCUGGUCAACAUGGUGAAACCCUGUCUCUA
Callithrix jacchus (white-tufted-ear marmoset) is the source of this 342-nucleotide unclassified non-coding RNA. It matches the Rfam family "Metazoan signal recognition particle RNA". From Rfam's summary of the family: The signal recognition particle (SRP) is a universally conserved ribonucleoprotein. It is involved in the co-translational targeting of proteins to membranes. The eukaryotic SRP consists of a 300-nucleotide 7S RNA and six proteins: SRPs 72, 68, 54, 19, 14, and 9. The record is from Ensembl. NCBI's taxonomy places the organism in Eukaryota, Metazoa, Chordata, Mammalia, Primates, Cebidae.